This 252-nucleotide small RNA is filed under the name Arabidopsis thaliana (thale cress). RNAcentral describes it as "ATSL091890". Lineage: Eukaryota; Viridiplantae; Streptophyta; Magnoliopsida; Brassicales; Brassicaceae. The record is from RNAcentral.
UAACACAUACAUGAGCUUGAUAAUAGGUUUUUAAGAUCAAUUAAUCCUAAAGCACUAUCAUGUCGUUGUAGUACUGAAGGUUGUCAAUCCAAAUGAGUGUGAUGCUAGCAAUCAAGAUGCAAUCAGAGUUCACAGAGUCAAGCCAAGCAAUAACAGGGUUUGAGUUUCUAGCAGUCCUUAGUGAACAUGCAGAAAACAGAAAUUCAAGCAGAACAAUCAAAACACUCGACCAACACAGCUUGUUACCAACCA